CGCGGCCGCAGAGUUUGAUCAUGGCUCAGGACGAACGCUGGCGGCGUGCCUAAUACAUGCAAGUCGAGCGGAGCUAGACCUUCGGGUUUAGUCUAGCGGCGGACGGGUGAGUAACACGUAGGUAACCUGCCUAACAGACUGGGAUAACUACCGGAAACGGUAGCUAAGACCGGAUACGUCAAUUUGAGGGCAUCCUCGAAUUGAGAAAAGCGGAGUAAUCUGCUACUGAUAGAUGGACCUGCGGCGCAUUAGCUAGUUGGUGAGGUAGUGGCUCACCAAGGCGACGAUGCGUAGCCGACCUGAGAGGGUGAACGGCCACACUGGGACUGAGACACGGACCAGACUCCUGCGGGAGGCAGCAGUAGGGAAUCUUCGGCAAUGGACGAAAGUCUGACCGAGCAGCGCCGCGUGAGUGAUGAAGGCCUUCGGGUCGUAAAGCCCUGUCGAGGGAGAAGAAACAGUUGCGGUCGAAUAGGCCGCAACCCUGACGGUACCCCUAAAGGAAGCACCGGCUAACUCCGUGCCAGCAGCCGCGGUAAUACAGAGGUCUCAAGCGUUGUUC
RNAcentral lists this ribosomal RNA (562 nucleotides) under uncultured Bacilli bacterium. RNAcentral describes it as "bacterial SSU rRNA". It matches the Rfam family "Bacterial small subunit ribosomal RNA", at positions 1 to 546 of the family's 1533-position model. The record is from RNAcentral. Lineage: Bacteria; Bacillati; Bacillota; Bacilli.